Molecule: unclassified non-coding RNA, 1502 nt
Filed under: Hevea brasiliensis (rubber tree)
Lineage: Eukaryota; Viridiplantae; Streptophyta; Magnoliopsida; Malpighiales; Euphorbiaceae
Source: RNAcentral
UUAAUGUCUUUAUUUGAUAUAUUUUUACUUAUUACUUAGUUGUAUAUCUUAGUUUUGCUUAUAUUUUUAAAUAUCUAUUCAUUUUGUGAACUUUGCAAAAUUUUCAAAAAUUUGCGUAGUGUUUCUGUUACCUGCGACUGUGAUUGCGAAUGCUGCCACCACUGCGAAAUCCAUGGUGUAUAUAUAUAACACAAUGUGCUGUUACAUAACAGAUUUUUAGGGUACUGACAUGAUAUUUCCUGUUUCUGUACACAAAAUAUGAAUCUCUUAUCGGAUGAUAGUGCCAAUGUGGACCAAUAGGCUUUGUUUAAUGGGUUUUUUCUUUAUUUAAGGCCUUAGCUUCUAAUGGACUUGCUUUUAAACUUCUAUUUGGUUUGUUGCUAUCAGCCCUUUUAUAAAAGGAGGGCUUCUAGCCAUUUAUAUAAGGACAUGAUUUUUGUAUCAAAUAAUUUUUUUUUAAUUUGUAAUUCAUGCUAGAUAAACAACUUUAAUAUUUGUAAUGCUGAAAAUUAUUAAUUUGUAAAUGUAAGAUUUAUGUGUCUACUAGUUUAUUAGGUUGAUUAUGAAUUGAAAAGCAUAAUUUCUUCUCAACCAAUAGUUAUUUUAGAUGUUGAGAGUAGCGAUAUGUUAUAUAUUCAAUAAAAUAUUUGUUUAACUUUGAAUUUAAGAUAAUUUUUUUCUCUUUUCAAAACUCAAGAUAGAGCUAGCUGAUGCUGUUAUAUUUUUUCCUGAUAUGGCCUGUUGCCAGGACAAUUUGUCCAAUUCUGAUACUUGUGACUGAUGCUGUUAUGUAGAACCCUAUUUGCACCACCUUUAGUGUCUUGCAUGAAUUUAUUUGUUACCAGGAAAACAUAUACUGUGGAAGGUGAAUAUCCUUCAUUCUUAUUUAUUUGUAAUUCAUUGCGGUAAUUUGAAGUUCCUCUUUGUGCUUGACACUUCUGACUUCUUUUAGGCAUUCAAUAGUCAUGUUGAUCGUAAACUAGCCAAUGGCAGUGGUUGUUAGUUGUUUCUUUUCUAGCAUCUUGUUCUGAUUUAUUCUGUAUUCCAACUAAUUGUUUGUGCAUUCUUAAUUUAUUUAGGUUCCUAAUGUUGAAGUAAAUGCCCUGAUGAAAACGUUUAAGAUGAGACCUUUAUUAUUCCCGUUAGCGGGUUCUGUAACUGCUGUAUUUAACUGUCAAGGCCCCCUUGAUGCUCCUGUAUUUGUGGGAAGUGGGAUGGUUUCCAGGAAGAUAUCUCAUUCAGUUUCAGAAGUCCCUGUGUCCUCUGCGUAUGAGGCAGUGUUGAGAAGCAAAGAGGCUGGUGCUGUAGCAGCAUUUGACCGUGUUCCAUUUUCAUAUCUGUCAGCUAAUUUCACAUUUAACACUGACAAUUGUGUUGCUGAUUUGUAUGGAAUCAGAGCUAGCCUCGUGGAUGGUGGUGAAAUUCGGGGGGCAGGGAAUGCAUGGAUUUGCCCUGAGGGUGAGGUGGAUGAUUCAGCAAUGGAUGUAAAUUUCUCUGGCAAU